This 854-nucleotide ribosomal RNA is filed under the name uncultured bacterium. Its description in RNAcentral is "bacterial SSU rRNA". It matches the Rfam family "Bacterial small subunit ribosomal RNA", at positions 22 to 866 of the family's 1533-position model. The record is from RNAcentral.
GCUCAGAACGAACGCGGGCGGCGCGUUUUAAGCAUGCAAGUCUAACGAUGGUGGUAGCAAUACCAUGAGAGUGGCGAACGGGUGAGUAACACGUAGGUAAUCUACCUUUGGAUGGGGGAUAGCUCAUGGAAACAUGGGGUAAUACCGCAUGAAGUCUGCUGGCAUAGAGCUGGCAGAUGAAAGACGCAAUUGUGUCGUCUGGAGAUGAGCCUGCGGUCCAUUAGCUAGUUGGCAGUGUAAUAGACUACCAAGGCGACGAUGGAUAGCCGGCCUGAGAGGGUGUACGGCCACACUGGAACUGAGACACGGUCCAGACUCCUACGGGAGGCAGCAGCUAAGAAUCUUCCGCAAUGGGCGAAAGCCUGACGGAGCGACGCCGCGUGAAUGAUGAAGGCCGAAAGGUUGUAAAAUUCUUUUCUUGGGGAAGAAUAAUGAUUGGAAUGGAAUGCCAGUCAGAUGACAUUAACCAGGGAAUAAGCCCCGGCUAAUUACGUGCCAGCAGCCGCGGUAAUAUGUAUGGGGCGAGCGUUGUUCGGAUUUAUUGGGCGUAAAGGGCGUGUAGGCGGUUUCGUAAGCUUGGUGUGAAAUAUUCUGGCUUAACCAGAAAAACGCACUGGGAACUGCGAGACUAGAGUUUAGGAGGGGAAGCUGGAAUUCCAGGUGUAGGGGUGAAAUCAGUAGAUAUGUGGAAGAACACCAAAGGAGAAGGCAAGCUUCUGGACAUAGACUGACGUUGAGGCGCGAAAGCGUGGGGAGCAAACAGGAUUAGAUACCCUGGUAGUCCACGCUGUAAACGAUGUGCACUAGGUGUAGGGGGCUUACGGCUCUGUGCGCCGUAGUUAACGUGUUAAGUG